Molecule: small nucleolar RNA, 107 nt
Organism: Corylus avellana
Lineage: Eukaryota; Viridiplantae; Streptophyta; Magnoliopsida; Fagales; Betulaceae
Source: RefSeq, a predicted model, not a curated record
AGGUUGUGAUAUGGACACUUGAGACCCAACUCAUUGAAGUGCCCCCAUGCUUCAAAGAAAAGGUCUCUAUCUCUUUGUUGAAAUGUUUGAAUCUUCCUUCCAAGUUG